CCAAAACAAGGAAAAUAUAAAGAUGCAUUCUGUAACUUUAUGGUGCCCAUUAAGAAAUUCCCGUACUAUUAAGAAUCAUCAAAUAAAAUAACUGAUGACUUUCAAUUUCUCAAAGUAACAUUGGAAAAUAUGAAAUAUAGGUUAGCAAAAAAGUCAAAAAAAAAUGUCCAUGGAAACAAGAUAAUUAAUGUAUCAGCAAUCAGCUUUUAUUGCUGUUCUUCAUCUUGACAGACACUGGGAUGUUUACAAUAAAAAAACAAGAGUCAACACCUUACAUUAAGGUCAAAGUGGUCAUUCCUGUCAUAUUUGACACUGCUUGAUAUUCAUCAAUUACUGCUACAUGUCUUCAAAUAUGGGUUUAAUCAAUGAAUUGUAAAAAUAACUGAUGAAAACUGGUGAAAUCUUACUUCUUAUUUUUUCCUACUUGGUCCCACAAAAGAAUUUGUAAAACAAUUAUUGAUGAAGCCUAGGAAGGUGUAUCUACAAAUACCAUUGAGUGCAGCAUGAAAAUAAAUCUGACUUUUAUCACAACAAAACCCCAACAAUCUUGGGGAAUCAUCAACACCAUUUGUGGAAGAACUUGGAAAAGACAAAGCAAAGAUUAUCAAGCCAAUCAGCUGUGAAUGCAUGUCUAGUACUGUACUAUUGUGCUGGUCAGCUGUGAAUGCAUGUUUAGUACUGUACUUGUGUACUGGUCAGCUGUGAAUGCAUGUCUAGUACUGUACUUGUGUGCUGGUCAGCUGUGAAUGCAUGUCUAGUACUGUACUUGUGUGCUGGUCAGCUGUGAAUGCAUGUCUAGUACUGUACUUGUGUGCUGGUCAGCUGUAAAUGCAUGUCUAGUACUGUACUUGUGUGCUGGUCAGCUGUGAAUGCAUGUCUAGUACUGUACUUGUGUGCUGGUCAGCUGUGAAUGCAUGUCUAAUACUGUACUUGUGUGCUGGUCAGCUGUGAAUGCAUGUCUAAUACUGUACUUGUGUGCUGGUCAGCUGUGAAUGCAUGUCUAAUACUGUACUUGUGUGCUGGUAAAUCUGGUUUAACCACACCAUAUUUUGUGUCAUACAAAGUCAGGUUGUUGGAGCAUGUGUUGUUUGGGUUUUUUUUUCAGAGGAGAGUUAGGUGUUGGUAGUUUGUUUUUUUCAGAGGAGAGUUAGGUGUUGGUAGUUUGUUUUUUCAGAGGAGAGUUAGGUGUUGGUAGUUUGUUUUUUCAGAGGAGAGUUAGGUGUUGGUAGUUUGUUUUUUCAGAGGAGAGUAAGGUGUUGGUAGUUUGUUUUUUCAGAGGAGAGUAAGGUGUUGGUAGUUUGUUUUUUUCAGAGGAGAGUUAGGUGUUGGUAGUUUGUUUUUUCAGAGGAGAGUAAGGUGUUGGUAGUUUGUUUUUUUCAGAGGAGAGUUAGGUGUUGGUAGUUUGUUUUUUUCAGAGGAGAGUUAGGUGUUGGUAGUGUUUGUUUUUUCAGAGAAGAGUUAGGUGUUGGUAGUUUGUUUUUUCAGAGAGGAGAGUUAGGUGUUGGUAGUUUGUUUUUUUCAGAGGAGAGUUAGGUGUUUGUAGUUUGUUUUUUCAGAGGAGAGUUAGGUGUUGGUAGUUUGUUUUUUUCAGAGGAGAGUUAGGUGUUUGUAGUUUGUUUUUUCAGAGGAGAGUUAGGUGUUGGUAGUUUGUUUUUUUCAGAGGAGAGUUAGGUGUUUGUAGUUUGUUUUUUCAGAGGAGAGUUAGGUGUUGGUAGUUUGUUUUUUUCAGAGGAGAGUUAGGUGUUUGUAGUUUGUUUUUUCAGAGGAGAGUUAGGUGUUGGUAGUUUGUUUUUUUCAGAGGAGAGUUAGGUGUUUGUAGUUUGUUUUUUCAGAGGAGAGUUAGGUGUUUGUAGUUUGUUUUUUCAGAGGAGAGUUAGGUGUUGGUAGUUUGUUUUUUCAGAGGAGAGUUAGGUGUUUGUAGUUUGUUUUUUCAGAGGAGAGUUGGGUGUUUGUAGUUUGUUUUUUCAGAGGAGAGUUGGGUGUUGGUAGUUUGUUUUUUCAGAGAAGAGUUAGGUGUUGGUAGGUCAGUUGUAUUGUAAAGAUAUUUUUCAUAACUCCUGUUAUCAUUUUUAUAUAUUAGACAGUUGAUUGACACUUAAAAUUUCUUACAGCAAUGUGGUCACAGACUCAAAUGGCCUAGUUGCAAUAUUCAUGAUUUGAAAUUUAAAAGGCCAUAUUUUUAAAAAUAGUAGCAUCUAUAUGUAUUUAAAUGCUAGUAAGGAAAGAUGAUAUUGACUGAUUUCUACAAAUACAAAAAUUUAGGAAAUAUCCAAGGAGAUCUUUGCUAAAAGACAAGAAUUUACAAGAUGUUUCAUCAUCUGGAAAAUAUGCAAGAUUUAUCCAAAAGUGCACACAUAGAGAGGUGAGAAUUUUUAAUGUAUAAAUAAACAUUUUAGAAAGUUUGAAAACUUAACAUAAGCAACUAUAAGUGUUUCACAAAACAAGUAUCCUCUAUGAAAAUUUCCCCAAAAAUUGACCUAGUUUGACCACCUGAGACAAAUAUGUCAAGGAAAUUUUAAGGCAUUGGAUUUAAAACUGUGAGAUGAGUUUAGUAAACAAAAUGUUUCAAACAGUAAGAAGGCUCCAGGUUGGAAAUUGUAGGAGGAAUUGAUUAUGCAAAACUGGUAUUUUCCUUUGAGAAUGUUGCUAUGAGAAUGCUGCUAUCAAUUAAAUGUUUCACCACCAGAAAAUCUUUGUAAUUAUGCAAAUGUGCAUCUAAAAUAAGUGCACAUUCUAAAUUUAUACACAAACAUUCCAGGUUGAAAAGUGCAGAAGUUGAUUCACAAAACAGGCUUCUUCUUUUUUAUAUAAUAUUAUACUGUAUUGUGUCAUUACACUUCUAGGAGCACAGACAAACUUGCACAUGGCAAAUGAUUUUUUCACUGGCUUACAAAUGCUCAGUAUUUGAACUUAGAAGAAUGAAAAAAAUUCAAUGAAUUUUUUUUUUGUGAUACACUGCAAUAAAAGUUGGAUUAUCUCCCUUACACCAUAUAUCUGUAGUAAAAAUAUCAAUGUAUAAUAUACAUUGAACAUUUCUAGAAUUUCAUAUAUUUUGCCAUGUAUCAACAUAUUUUCUAUCAAACAGUCUUAAAUGAAAAUUAUGCCAGAUGCAUUUAUAAAUUUGGACAAUUUCUACCACCAGAUUUUAAUUUUAUAAAAAGUUGGACUACCUCCCCCUCUCCUCAAAUUUUGCUAAGCAAUAGAACUUUUUAUUUAUCAUUUUGGGUGUAUGUGAGUCUAAGCAUAGGGGAAACAAAGCAUAGUAUAAUGAAAGCUAACCAGAUAAAAACAACAUGAACUAUGAAACUGAGAAUAUAUAUCCUUAACCAUCACAGGACACUUGACUUAAUCACUUUGUUCUUUAUUCCAUAUAGUUCAUUUAUAAUUCCAUCUUUAUUCAAACAUAGCAAUGUCACUUUUUUAUUAA
Mytilus californianus (California mussel) is the source of this 3427-nucleotide long non-coding RNA. RefSeq lists it as uncharacterized. Lineage: Eukaryota; Metazoa; Mollusca; Bivalvia; Mytilida; Mytilidae. The transcript is spliced from 3 exons. The record is from RefSeq and is a predicted model, not a curated record.